Non-coding RNA from Oryza barthii, 204 nucleotides. NCBI's taxonomy places the organism in Eukaryota, Viridiplantae, Streptophyta, Magnoliopsida, Poales, Poaceae. The record is from Rfam.
UUUAAGUGCAACCAUAAGUUUUCGUGCCCAAUUUUAAUUGUCCGUCUUAUUUUAUUUUUUUAUAAUUAGUAUUUUUAUUGUUAUGAGAUGAUAAAAUAUGAAUAGUACUUUAUAUGUGACUUAUGUUUUUUAAAAUUUUCAAAAAAAAAAAUAAAUAAGACAAACGGUCAAAAUUGUGCACGGAAAAUCAUAUUUGCACUUAAA